GAUGAACGCUGGCGGCGUGCCUAACACAUGCAAGUCGAGCGAAGCGCCUUACUUGAUUUCUUCGGGAUGAAAGUAUUGUGACUGAGCGGCGACGGGUGAGUACGCGUAGAGUACCUGCCUCAUACAGGGGGAUAACAGUUAGAAAUGACUGCUAAUACCGCAUAAGACCACAGCACCGCAUGGUGCAGGGGUUAAAAACUCCGGUGGUAUGAGAUGGAUCCGCGUCUGAUUAGCUAGUUGGUAAGGUAACGGCUUACCAAGGCAACGAUCAGUAGCCGACCUGAGAGGGUGACCGGCCACAUUGGGACUGAGCACGGCCCAA
Molecule: ribosomal RNA, 322 nt
Filed under: uncultured bacterium
Lineage: Bacteria
Description: bacterial SSU rRNA
Rfam family: Bacterial small subunit ribosomal RNA
Source: RNAcentral